Molecule: transfer RNA, 67 nt
Filed under: Marmota monax (woodchuck)
Lineage: Eukaryota; Metazoa; Chordata; Mammalia; Rodentia; Sciuridae
Description: tRNA.Ala
Source: RNAcentral
GGAUGUGGCUCAGUGGCAAAGCAUUUGCCUAGCAAGUGUCAGGACUUGGGUUCAAGUCUCAGCACCA